UUUAUUUGAUUAGAUCUCACAAAUACAUUAUUGGAGUUUGCUAUAUCUAUCAACUAGGUAAAAAAAAUAAAUUAACCACUAAUUGUAGAAUUUUUAACACAAAUGAGUUCUUGGAGAGUAAAGAGAAGAAGAAAGAUGAAAAAAAAAUUGCAGAAGCAACAAAAGCUGCUGUGUGCAGCAUUGGGAAGAAGAGAGAUGAUCAUUCUGCAUGGCAUCCAUGAUUUAUAUAGUGAAAGGGGUUAAAGUUUUUUCUUUU
Molecule: long non-coding RNA, 256 nt
Filed under: Carica papaya (papaya)
Lineage: Eukaryota; Viridiplantae; Streptophyta; Magnoliopsida; Brassicales; Caricaceae
Description: long non-coding RNA (CPAP_LNC009087)
Source: RNAcentral